Long non-coding RNA from Peromyscus leucopus (white-footed mouse), 1514 nucleotides. RefSeq lists it as uncharacterized. NCBI's taxonomy places the organism in Eukaryota, Metazoa, Chordata, Mammalia, Rodentia, Cricetidae. The record is from RefSeq and is a predicted model, not a curated record. The transcript has 5 exons.
GCUCACUUGCGAUACCAGACCUUAAGACUCAUGAGGCGUGGUCAAAGAUGAGACAAGGGUGGGGAUAAAACAUCAGGGGUCAUAGCAAACAAUCCACUUGAAGGGUUUUGGUAUGUCCUUUCUGAGCUAGAGGCCGACAGCACAGGUCUGGGAGUAUAUAGAAAAGCCGUCCUGCUCUGUCUGCCACCAGGCCCCCCCUCCCCCUCUGCUUAGCUGGCCCUCAAACUGCUCACCUAAUUCACAGAUCUUCCCAGGCAAAGGCUGACUACUUCCUUCCCUCCUCCUUCCUGUCUUCCUGUGACUGAGCAGGAACAAUAAGAAGAGGUGUGGGUCUCCAGAGAAGACAGGAUCAAAGCUGCAGCUCAAAACAGACCUUUCUGGGCAUGGGACCACCAACUAACUGCUAUAAGUCACUCUGACUCUCACCUGUCAAACUGUUAAGAGACAGCUGACCCCAGCAGAUGCUAAGAGGUUAAGAAGAGCAGUGGUGCUGACGUCACCUCCACACUACUGAGACCUGUGUUGUUCCGCGCAAUGGAACCAGGGCAGAGAAGCUCCAGCAUCAUCAUCUACGGCAGGGACGGAGGACCAGAAGCCUGAGUGUACAUGGAAGAGCCUGGAUGUUAUGUACUGCAUACCAGUGUGCCCUGUGCCUGUGGAGGCUGGAAGAGGGCACUGGUUCUCCAGGAUCUGCAGUUACAGAUAGCUGUGAGCCUCCUGGUGGUGGUGACUCUCAUCACCAUUACAAGUACUCCUUUCCACACCCAAACAGCAGGAACAAGAGGAGAGAGGGGUGUCCAGGUCAACCACCACACGGCACACCGCCUGAGUGUCCUGGGAUGUGGGUGUGAAACCUGAGGAAAAGCUGUAAGCCAAUGUGUAAUCCAGUAUGCAACAGUGACUAAAUUAACAGGGCGAGCUCUAAAAUAAUGGGGUAAACUCAUUUUCCUGGAAACCCACAGGAGUCCCACACAGGCAGUACCACCAUCAGGCUACACAGAUGCUUACUUUUAGCUUUUUUUUUUCUUCUCUAAAUUUGUGGACUUUUGAUGACAAUAAAUGUGGUACAUAAUCGUUAUUAAAAUGUUUUAAAAUUAUCAAAACAUAGCAAAGGGGAAUUUCCAAGGUCACACUAUCCAAAAGCAGGUAUUGCUAGCAGCUGGGACUGUACCACUCUGGAUUUAUUUUUAGAGUCUACUUAAACAAGAAACCAAUAACUCAGUGUCUGGUAUGAGUGACACUUUGCUGUUUAUUUCAUGACUCAUUUUCUCUUUGCUAUUUUGAUUUCAUCCUUAUGAAUUUAUUUCUAUGUCAUAGACAUAAAAUGACUUCACACCACAUGCUGUUAAUAUUCCAGUCACCACUUAACCUAAUCUAACCAAUUCUCUAUGAAACAGUGUUAUAGUUUAAUGUUCUAAAUACAAAUAAGCAACAGAAAAGUUUGACUGUGGUAUACCAGUUUGGUAAUGCUUGCCUGGCAUGUAUGGGGCUUUAGUUCCAAUCACCAGUACUGC